RNAcentral lists this ribosomal RNA (492 nucleotides) under uncultured bacterium. Its description in RNAcentral is "partial 16S ribosomal RNA". It matches the Rfam family "Bacterial small subunit ribosomal RNA", at positions 29 to 507 of the family's 1533-position model. The record is from RNAcentral.
AGUGAACGCUGGCGGUAGGCCUAACACAUGCAAGUCGAACGGCAGCACAGUAAGAGCUUGCUCUUACUGGUGGCGAGUGGCGGACGGGUGAGGAAUACAUCGGCAUCUACUUUUUCGUGGGGGAUAACGUAGGGAAACUUACGCUACUACCGCAUACUACCUACGGGUGAAAGCAGGGGAUCUUCGCACCUUGCGCGAUUGAAUUAGCCGAUGUCGGAUUAGCUAGUUGGCGGGGUAAAGGCCCACCAAGGCGACGAUCCGUAGCUGGUCUGAGAGGAUGAUCAGCCACACUGGAACUGAGACACGGUCCAGACUCCUACGGGAGGCAGCAGUGGGGAAUAUUGGACAAUGGGCGCAAGCCUGAUCCAGCAAUACCGCGUGGGUGAAGAAGGCCUUCGGGUUGUAAAGCCCUGUUGUUGGGAAAGAAAAGAAGCAGGUUAAUACCCCGCUGUUCUGACGGUACCCAAAGAAUAAGCACCGGCUAACUUCGUG